RNAcentral lists this ribosomal RNA (465 nucleotides) under uncultured bacterium. Its description in RNAcentral is "partial 16S ribosomal RNA". It matches the Rfam family "Bacterial small subunit ribosomal RNA", at positions 28 to 507 of the family's 1533-position model. The record is from RNAcentral.
GACGAACGCUGGCGGCGUGCUUAACACAUGCCAGUCGAACGGAAAGGCCCCUUUGGGGGUACUCGAGUGGCGAACGGGUGAGUAACACGUGAGUAACCUGCCCUUGACUUCGGGAUAACUUCAGGAAACUGGGGCUAAUACCGGAUAGGAAUCCUUGCUGCAUGGUGGGGGUUGGAAAGCUUCGGCGGUUUUGGAUGGACUCGCGGCUUAUCAGCUUGUUGGUGGGGUAGUGGCUUACCAAGGCUUUGACGGGUAGCCGGCCUGAGAGGGCGACCGGCCACAUUGGGACUGAGAUACGGCCCAGACUCCUACGGGAGGCAGCAGUGGGGAAUAUUGCACAAUGGGCGGAAGCCUGAUGCAGCAACGCCGCGUGCGGGAUGACGGCCUUCGGGUUGGAAACCGCGUUCAGCAGGGGCGAAGCUUGUGGUGACGGUACCUGCAGAAGAAGCACCGGCUAACUACGUG